AUGUCUUUCUUCAGUUGCAUUUUCAGUUUCUUUUUGCUGUGGGUUUGUAGGUGGCCAUUCCACUUCAAGAUCACACAAACCAUGGCUGCCUGGAACUUACCUUGUCACUCACACAUGAGGAAGUCUUGCUCUUCCAUCAGAGGUAACACAAUUGCCAGAAAGAUUUGUAUUUCUUUGAGCCUGACAAAGGCACAGUGGGACCAAUGCAGCUGCUUCAGGUGUGGAGGAGCAGGGAAAAGCCUGAGGACAGAGAAAUACAUUUGGUGUAUUUUUAGAACCAUAGAUAGAUCUACAGAAGACUGGACCGCAGUGCCCUAA
RNAcentral lists this long non-coding RNA (318 nucleotides) under Coturnix japonica (Japanese quail). RNAcentral describes it as "lncRNA (ENSCJPG00005009284.1)". The record is from RNAcentral. Lineage: Eukaryota; Metazoa; Chordata; Aves; Galliformes; Phasianidae.